RNAcentral lists this ribosomal RNA (498 nucleotides) under uncultured bacterium. RNAcentral describes it as "partial 16S ribosomal RNA". It matches the Rfam family "Bacterial small subunit ribosomal RNA", at positions 29 to 523 of the family's 1533-position model. The record is from RNAcentral.
AUUGAACGCUGGCGGCAUGCUUUACACAUGCAAGUCGAACGGGGUGAGGGGGCAACUCCUCAUUCAGUGGCGAACGGGUGAGUAAUGCAUCGGAACGUGUCCCGUAGUGGGGGAUAACGCCGGGAAACCGGCGCUAAUACCGCAUAUGCUCUACGGAGGAAAGUGGGGGACCGCAAGGCCUCACGCUAUGGGAGCGGCCGAUGUCCGAUUCGCUUGUUGGCGGGGUAAAGGCCCACCAAGGCGACGAUCGGUAGCUGGUCUGAGAGGAUGAUCAGCCAGAGUGGGACGGAGACACGGCCCAGAGUCCUACGGGAGGCAGCAGUGGGGAAUUUUGGACAAUGGGGGCAACCCUGAUCCAGCCAUGCCGCGUGCGGGAAGAAGGCCUUCGGGUUGUAAACCGCUUUUAGCCGGAACGAAAAGGUCUCUCUUAAUACGGGGGACUCAUGACGGUACCGUAAGAAUAAGCACCGGCUAACUACGUGCCAGCCGCCGCAGUAA